AAACUAAAUAUUAAUCGCUCAUAUAAUAGCAAGAAUAAGGCUUGCGAGUUUCUACCAGUUCACCGUAAAUGAAUUGACUAUGAGAAGCAAAUAUAA
RNAcentral lists this non-coding RNA (96 nucleotides) under uncultured Rummeliibacillus sp. RNAcentral's name for it is "Purine riboswitch". It matches the Rfam family "Purine riboswitch aptamer". Rfam says of the family: Riboswitches are metabolite binding domains within certain messenger RNAs that serve as precision sensors for their corresponding targets. Allosteric rearrangement of mRNA structure is mediated by ligand binding, and this results in modulation of gene expression. The record is from RNAcentral. Lineage: Bacteria; Bacillati; Bacillota; Bacilli; Caryophanales; Caryophanaceae.